UGGGGAAUAUUGCACAAUGGGCGAAAGCCUGAUGCAGCAACGCCGCGUGAGUGAUGAAGGCCUUCGGGUUGUAGAGCUCUGUCUUUUGGGACGAUAAUGACGGUACCAAAGGAGGAAGCCACGGCUAACUACGUGCCAGCAGCCGCGGUAAUACGUAGGUGGCAAGCGUUGUCCGGAUUUACUGGGCGUAAAGGAUGCGUAGGCGGAUUUUUAAGUGAGAUGUGAAAUACCCGGGCUUAACUUGGGUGCUGCAUUUCAAACUGGGAAUCUAGAGUGCGGGAGAGGAGAAUGGAAUUCCUAGUGUAGCGGUGAAAUGCGUAGAGAUUAGGAAGAACACCAGUGGCGAAGGCGAUUCUCUGGACCGUAACUGACGCUGAGGCAUGAAAGCGUGGGUAGCAAACAGGAUUAGAUACCCUGGUAGUCCACGCCGUAAACGAUGAGUACUAGGUGUAGGAGGUAUCGACCCCUUCUGUGCCGCAGUUAACACAAUAAGUACUCCGCCUGGGAAGUACGAUCGCAAGAUUAAAAACUU
RNAcentral lists this ribosomal RNA (532 nucleotides) under uncultured bacterium. RNAcentral's name for it is "partial 16S ribosomal RNA". It matches the Rfam family "Bacterial small subunit ribosomal RNA", at positions 355 to 902 of the family's 1533-position model. The record is from RNAcentral.